This 400-nucleotide ribosomal RNA is filed under the name uncultured bacterium. RNAcentral's name for it is "bacterial SSU rRNA". It matches the Rfam family "Bacterial small subunit ribosomal RNA", at positions 30 to 417 of the family's 1533-position model. The record is from RNAcentral.
AGUGAACGCUGGCGGCAGGCCUAACACAUGCAAGUCGAGCGGCAGCGCGUCCGACCACCCUCGGGUGGUCGGAUGGCGGCGAGCGGCGGACGGGUGAGGAAUGCAUCGGAAUCUGCCUCGUUGUGGGGGAUAACGUAGGGAAACUUACGCUAAUACCGCAUACGACCUACGGGUGAAAGUGGGGGACCUUCGGGCCUCACGCGAUGAGAUGAGCCGAUGCCGGAUUAGCUAGUUGGCGGGGUAAAGGCCCACCAAGGCGACGAUCCGUAGCUGGUCUGAGAGGAUGAUCAGCCACACUGGAACUGAGACACGGUCCAGACUCCUACGGGAGGCAGCAGUGGGGAAUAUUGGACAAUGGGGCAACCCUGAUCCAGCCAUGCCGCGUGUGUGAAGAAGGCCU